AGAGACAUAGAGGAUUUAUAAAUGUAAGAAGAGAGGUACUGAAGAGUGCACCUUCAUAGAAUUCAUGCAGCAGCUUCCCACAACCAACUCCAGCAACCCUGCACAGAAACGAUAGGCCUAAAAGAAGAGCGACUAGCAAUAUCGAAGUUAACCGAGAAGCCGAAGAAAAACCACUUCUUCUUACCAUCUUUGUUUCCAUGGCGGCUCGAACCAUGGCGAACCCGAGAGCAUUAGUAGCGUCAGCAGCAGCAUUAGCAUGGUUUCUGUUGUUUACGAGUCUCAUCAUCUCUGGCCAUGCUGCGCGUGCUGAAAGACCAUUACUACAUGAUAAAGCGCUGGAGGUCCCUGUGGAGGACACGGCGAGACCGGGGUUCUUGGUUAGAGCUGUUAAUUUCUUGUGGCAGAUCGGGAAGUCCUCUUAUGAGCCAGUUUGGCCUGAAAUGGAGUUUGGAUGGAAAUUAGUGGUGGGAUCGAUAAUCGGCUUCUUUGGCGCAGCACUGGGUAGUGUUGGGGGUGUUGGUGGCGGUGGAAUAUUCGUGCCGAUGCUCACUUUGAUCAUCGGCUUCGACCCCAAGUCCUCUACUGCCAUCUCCAAAUGUAUGAUAAUGGGAGCAGCGGGAUCGACCGUCUACUACAAUUUGAGACUCAGGCACCCGACGCUGGACAUACCCCUCAUAGAUUACGACCUGGCUUUGCUCUUUCAGCCCAUGCUCAUGCUAGGAAUCAGCAUUGGAGUGGCCUUCAACGUCAUGUUUGCCGAUUGGAUGGUCACGGUGCUGUUGAUCAUUCUCUUCAUCGGUACUUCAACGAAGGCAUUAUUUAAAGGCAUUGAUACAUGGAAGAAGGAGACGCUAAUGAGAAAGGAACAAGCCAAGCUGAUGGAAGAAGAAGCAAAGCAAUAUGAAGGUUCCAAGGAAGACUACAAGCCCCUGCCCAGUGGCCCAGCUGCCUCACGUGAUGAAAAGGUCUCCCUCGCAAAGAACAUCUACUGGAAAGAGUUGUCCUUGCUUCUUUUCAUAUGGGUAGCUUUCCUAGCUGUGCAGAUCGUUAAGACAUACACAAAGACCUGCUCAGUCAAGUAUUGGAUUCUGAACUCUUUACAGGUACCAAUUGCAUGCUCCGUCACACUCUUUGAAGCAAUAGCCUUAUACAGAGGGACGAGAGUGAUUGCAUCCAAAGGAAAGGAGAUUACGAAUUGGAAACUCCACCAGAUACUUCUUUACUGUUCCUGUGGUAUUAUUGCUGGUAUGGUGGGUGGUCUGCUAGGCCUCGGAGGCGGCUUCAUCCUGGGACCUCUUUUCCUUGAAUUGGGAAUCCCUCCUCAGGUAGCAAGCGCCACAUCAACCUUUGCAAUGACAUUCUCGUCUUCGAUGUCAGUCGUUCAGUAUUAUAUCCUAAAGAGGUUUCCAGUUCCAUUCGCUUCAUAUUUUGUUUUAGUUGCAACUGUUGCGGCCAUCGUCGGCCAGCAUGUGGUGAGAAAGAUCAUCGCAAUCCUUGGCAGGACAUCGAUAAUCAUCUUCAUACUGGCUUUGACCAUUUUCGUGAGCGCGAUCAGUUUAGGUGGAGUAGGCAUCUCCAACAUGGUUGAGAAGCUGAGAAUCAGGAAUACAUGGGUUUCGAAAGCCUCUGCUAUGAAUCUUAAGUGCUCUGCGCAGAUCACCAUUUGGGCUAGCUGCGAAACCUGUUCGCCGACGCCUCUGAAUGUCUGUCAAAUUUGUUUUCAACUAUAGGUAAUGUCUUCAUUGGUGGAUCCACUGUCCACUACAUGGUGUCUCCUGAAACCUAUACAGUUGGAGCUUCAUCAUGUUUUUUGAACCUUCCUGUUUGUUUAGCUUGCCUCAGCUGUAUUUGCUUGAUGAGCCUCAAUUCAAACAUUGAUGUAAUAGCUGUUCUAUGGAAUAAGAUAAAUUUUCAGUUCUUUGCA
Eucalyptus grandis is the source of this 1924-nucleotide RNA transcript. It is a transcript of the gene named sulfite exporter TauE/SafE family protein 3, with no coding region annotated. Lineage: Eukaryota; Viridiplantae; Streptophyta; Magnoliopsida; Myrtales; Myrtaceae. The record is from RefSeq and is a predicted model, not a curated record. The transcript is spliced from 12 exons.